Molecule: long non-coding RNA, 1609 nt
Organism: Xenopus laevis (African clawed frog)
Lineage: Eukaryota; Metazoa; Chordata; Amphibia; Anura; Pipidae
Exons: 5
Source: RefSeq, a predicted model, not a curated record
GGGCCCUUAUUUAAACCCUGAACUGGCUUCUCUCUUACCAGUUCAUAGGUCUCCAUAACUGCUGGACUCCCGGUCUAUGUUCCUGAGUUCCAGGUUCCAGUCUGAUCCUGAUCCUGGGCUCUCUCCCAUGCUGGUAUUACCCAGUUCAGUAUUACACAUUGGUAGGAGUGUUCUUCCCUGAUGGAGAUUGGAUAUAGCCAAUGAACAGCUAACAGCACCUAGAGAGGUCACCUGACCUGAAGUUUCUUUUCUGUAAUUGGGACAGGGUUGGAUUUGGCCAGCAGGACACCAGCACUUCCUGUUUCUUGAUGGUCAGCGGAUCGGGUUGCGGAUAAGGUACUUGCAGGUCCAAACGGAUACUCAAGACCAAAACUGCUUAUAAAGAGAGCGCGGAGGAUGACUUAUGAUUUUGUCCUAUCCCCAGUAAACCCCCUGCCAAGAAACUGCACAUGGUACUUGUUGUUCUCUGCACUGCUGGUGCCGACUACACAGACCAUUAUGGGGAAUGGAGCCUUGGUUGCAGGAUAUCCAACUGCUGUUAAUUAAGGGUCAAGAGCAAGACUGAUCACCAAGUAGAAAAUAGCCAUUUAAUGGCGAGUUCACCAAAUUAACGAGCAAGGCUGAUUGAUCGUAAUGAAGUUGUGCUCAGGGAGAGCAAUAAUGAAACCAGUACAAACAGACUCGCUUUGGCUUUUUCCCCAGGGGCAUUCGCACAAAAUGACAAGGAGCAGGUAGUGAUUCCCCUGCGAAGAAACUGCACGUGGUACUUGUUGUUCUCUGCACUGCUGGUGCCGACUACGCAGACUAUUGUGGGAAAUGGAACCUUGGUUACAGAAUAUCUAACUGCUGUUAAUUAAGGCAAUGUCACGCAUUUCAUUUGUUUUAUUAUGCAAUGUUUGUAUUUGGGUUUACAUUCCUUUCAAUGCAAAUUAGUCUGGCCUCCAUGGAGCGACUGGGCAUGAUCAAGUCUGGAUAAACUGACCAACCACCAUUUUCUUGGGAUAGUUUCAGCAGACUCCUGGGGUUCCAUUGUCCUGCUUGGACAGAGAUUUAGUCUGCUGAUGAUUCAGUGUUUGUUUGGGGGCACUGGACAACUCAUAGCAGGACAUCCAGCAUUUAGAUUCACAAGCUUACUUUUCAGGUGUGCACGCCAGUUGAUGUGUCCACCUUCACAUCCUUGUAGCAAAUUUCCAAAGUAGAUAGCAGCACUCCCAUGUAACAUUAAAAUCGCCUUUAUUUCAAGAUAUUCAUCUGGCACAGCAACGUUUUGGACCACCUGGUCCUUUUUCAAGCAGAGUCUGUCAGAGUGCUGCUAUCUACUUUGGAAAUUGGCACUGGACAACUCCCCAAGUGACAGGGCUGCACCUAUUUUUGUUUCCCCUUUAGAACCAGACCAGCAAAAUGCAAUUUGUUAGUGUGAAUGUGAGAACAAGCAGAUGGAUUAGAUAUUCCUUGUUAUGUGCUGUCCAGACAAAGGUUCGUUUUCAUAUUUCUAAAUAAAUGCACACUUGGAGCAACUAUAUGUGGGUGUUAGGGACCUGUUUGGGGCACAGAUACCUUUAAUGAAAGGCCACAAAAAACUUGAAUAAAUAUUCCCUUUAGCAUUUUA